GAACGGGUGAGUACACGUGGGUGAUCUGCCCUGCACUUUGGGAUAAGCCUGGGAAACUGGGUCUAAUACCGAAUAUGACCAUGCGCUUCCUGGUGUGUGGUGGAAAGCUUUUGCGGUGUGGGAUGGGCCCGCNNNNNUCAGCUUGUUGGUGGGGUAAUGGCCUACCAAGGCGACGACGGGUAGCCGGCCUGAGAGGGUGACCGGCCACACUGGGACUGAGAUACGGCCCAGACUCCUACGGGAGGCAGCAGUGGGGAAUAUUGCACAAUGGGCGCAAGCCUGAUGCAGCGACGCCGCGUGAGGGAUGACGGCCUUCGGGUUGUAAACCUCUUUCAGCACAGACGAAGCGCAAGUGACGGUAUGUGCAGAAGAAGGACCGGCCAACUACGUGCCAGCAGCCGCGGUAAUACGUAGGGUCCGAGCGUUGUCCGGAAUUACUGGGCGUAAAGAGCUCGUAGGUGGUUUGUCGCGUUGUUCGUGAAAACUCACAGCUUAACUGUGGGCGUGCGGGCGAUACGGGCAGACUCGAGUACUGCAGGGGAGACUGGAAUUCCUGGUGUAGCGGUGGAAUGCGCAGAUAUCAGGAGGAACACCGGUGGCGAAGGCGGGUCUCUGGGCAGUAACUGACGCUGAGGAGCGAAAGCGUGGGGAGCGAACAGGAUUAGAUACCCUGGUAGUCCACGCCGUANACGGUGGGUACUAGGUGUGGGUUUCCUUCCUUGGGAUCCGUGCCGUAGCUAACGCAUUAAGUACCCCNNNUGGGGAGUACGGCCGCAAGGCUAAAACUCAAAGAAAUUGACGGGGGCCCGCANNNGNGGCG
RNAcentral lists this ribosomal RNA (820 nucleotides) under uncultured bacterium. Its description in RNAcentral is "bacterial SSU rRNA". It matches the Rfam family "Bacterial small subunit ribosomal RNA", at positions 100 to 934 of the family's 1533-position model. The record is from RNAcentral.